GGGUAAGUAGGUUGGUCGUGCCACCGGUACGUACUGGUCUCACUGAUUCCUCCUUCCUGAAGAGCCGUAAUGCCAUUAAUUUGGUGUUGCGGGGAAACAGGACAGUUACUUUGAAAAAAUUAGAGUGUUUAAAGCAAGCUAACGCUUGGAUACAUUAGCAUGGAAUAAUGAAAUAGGACGAUCGAUCCUAUUUUGUUGGUUUCUAGGAUUGACGUA
RNAcentral lists this ribosomal RNA (216 nucleotides) under Glomeromycotina sp. Its description in RNAcentral is "partial small subunit ribosomal RNA". The stretch from base 40 to 216 matches the Rfam family "Eukaryotic small subunit ribosomal RNA", at positions 686 to 864 of the family's 1831-position model. Lineage: Eukaryota; Fungi; Glomeromycota. The record is from RNAcentral.